CCUACGGGGCGCAGCAGUGGGGGAUAUUGGACAAUGGGGGAAACCCUGAUCCAGCGACGCCGCGUGAGUGAAGAAGUAUUUCGGUAUCUAAAGCUCUAUACCCAGGGAAGAAAGCAGUGACGGUAACUGAGUCAGCCGCACCUUCCCCCCACGUGCACCCAGCCGCGCUCAUACCCCCCCCGCAAGCGUUAUCGGGAAUUACUGGGUGUAAAGCGCGCGUAGGCGGUUAAGCAAGUCUGACCCCAC
This 246-nucleotide ribosomal RNA is filed under the name uncultured bacterium. RNAcentral's name for it is "partial 16S ribosomal RNA". It matches the Rfam family "Bacterial small subunit ribosomal RNA", at positions 338 to 598 of the family's 1533-position model. The record is from RNAcentral.